This 379-nucleotide unclassified non-coding RNA is filed under the name plant metagenome. Its description in RNAcentral is "partial contains 5.8S ribosomal RNA, internal transcribed spacer 2, and large subunit ribosomal RNA". The record is from RNAcentral.
UUCUGAAUGUUGGCUGGGCAUGGGAACUGGAGGGCGCGGUCGACCAUGUUCCGGACAUGUCCAGCGACUGGUCUUGGCGGAGUUGGGAGGAGCUGACGCCCAAAUCGCAUAUGACAUCAUCCGCCGCCACGGUCGCAGAAUUCCUUCCCGGUAAUCCGAUGUCGAGAGGACCUCAGCAUAGGACUUCCACCGCGGCCAAAAAAUCCCGAGUGUCGCUCUGCUGCGCGCAAACUACUCAUGCUUAGACGUUUGCCUCCGUCCACGACACGACUGACCCUUGUUCUGAUUUCCUCCCGGAAUUGUUGGUUCAGCCAGCUUGGCAUUGGUGGUCCGUAGCCUGCGUCAUGAGCCGCUAAUUCAGGACCGAUUUUGGGCACCA